Molecule: ribosomal RNA, 166 nt
Filed under: Orbexilum simplex
Lineage: Eukaryota; Viridiplantae; Streptophyta; Magnoliopsida; Fabales; Fabaceae
Description: 5.8S ribosomal RNA
Rfam family: 5.8S ribosomal RNA
About the family: 5.8S ribosomal RNA (5.8S rRNA) is a component of the large subunit of the eukaryotic ribosome. It is transcribed by RNA polymerase I as part of the 45S precursor that also contains 18S and 28S rRNA.
Source: RNAcentral
ACACAAUGACUCUCGGCAACGGAUAUCUCGGCUCUUGCAUCGAUGAAGAACGUAGCGAAAUGCGAUACUUGGUGUGAAUUGCAGAAUCCCGUGAACCAUCGAGUCUUUGAACGCAAGUUGCGCCCGAAGCCAUUAGGCCGAGGGCACGCCUGCCUGGGUGUCACAC